GACGAACGCUGGCGGCGUGCUUAACACAUGCAAGUCGAACGGAAAGGCCUCUUUCGGGGGGUACUCGAGUGGCGAACGGGUGAGUAACACGUGAGUAACCUGCCCUUGACUUUGGGAUAACUUCAGGAAACUGGGGCUAAUACCGGAUAGGAGCUCCUGCUGCAUGGUGGGGGUUGGAAAGUUUCGGCGGUUGGGGAUGGACUCGCGGCUUAUCAGCUUGUUGGUGGGGUAGUGGCUUACCAAGGCUUUGACGGGUAGCCGGCCUGAGAGGGUGACCGGCCACAUUGGGACUGAGAUACGGCCCAGGCUCCUACGGGAGGCAGCAGUGGGGAAUAUUGCACAAGGGGUGGAAGCCUGAUGCAGCAACGCCGUGUGCGGGAUGACGGCCUUCGGGUUGUAAACCGCUUUCGCUCAUGACGAAGCUUUGUGUGACGGUAGUGGGUAAAGAAGCACCGGCUAACUACGUG
Molecule: ribosomal RNA, 467 nt
Filed under: uncultured bacterium
Lineage: Bacteria
Description: partial 16S ribosomal RNA
Rfam family: Bacterial small subunit ribosomal RNA
Source: RNAcentral